This 500-nucleotide ribosomal RNA is filed under the name uncultured Glomeromycotina. Its description in RNAcentral is "partial small subunit ribosomal RNA". It matches the Rfam family "Eukaryotic small subunit ribosomal RNA", at positions 591 to 1092 of the family's 1831-position model. Lineage: Eukaryota; Fungi; Glomeromycota. The record is from RNAcentral.
CCAAUAGCGUAUAUUAAAGUUGUUGCAGUUAAAAAGCUCGUAGUUGAAUUUCGGGGUCAGCAGGUUGGUCGUGCCACUGGUAUGCACUGGCCUCGCUGAUUCCUCCCUCUUGUAGAACCGUAAUGCCAUUAAGUUGGUGUUGCGGGGAAACAGGACUGUUACUUUGAAAAAAUUAGAGUGUUUAAAGCAGGCUAACGCUUGAAUACAUUAGCAUGGAAUAAUUAAAUAGGACGAUCGAUCCUAUUUUGUUGGUUUCUAGGGUUGACGUAAUGAUUAAUCGGGAUAGUUGGGGGCAUUAGUAUUCAAUUGUCAGAGGUGAAAUUCUUGGAUUUAUUGAAGACUAACUACUGCGAAAGCAUUUGCCAAGGAUGUUUUCAUUAAUCAAGAACGAAAGUUAGGGGAUCGAAGACGAUCAGAUACCGUCGUAGUCUUAACCAUAAACUAUGCCGACUAGGGAUCGGAUGAUGUUAAUUUUUUAAUGACUCAUUCGGCGCCUUACG